RNAcentral lists this ribosomal RNA (800 nucleotides) under Arthrobacter pascens. Its description in RNAcentral is "bacterial SSU rRNA". It matches the Rfam family "Bacterial small subunit ribosomal RNA", at positions 662 to 1455 of the family's 1533-position model. Lineage: Bacteria; Bacillati; Actinomycetota; Actinomycetes; Micrococcales; Micrococcaceae. The record is from RNAcentral.
UGGAAUUCCUGGUGUAGCGGUGAAAUGCGCAGAUAUCAGGAGGAACACCGAUGGCGAAGGCAGGUCUCUGGGCAUUAACUGACGCUGAGGAGCGAAAGCAUGGGGAGCGAACAGGAUUAGAUACCCUGGUAGUCCAUGCCGUAAACGUUGGGCACUAGGUGUGGGGGACAUUCCACGUUUUCCGCGCCGUAGCUAACGCAUUAAGUGCCCCGCCUGGGGAGUACGGCCGCAAGGCUAAAACUCAAAGGAAUUGACGGGGGCCCGCACAAGCGGCGGAGCAUGCGGAUUAAUUCGAUGCAACGCGAAGAACCUUACCAAGGCUUGACAUGGACUGGAUCGCCGCAGAAAUGUGGUUUCCCCUUUGGGGCCGGUUCACAGGUGGUGCAUGGUUGUCGUCAGCUCGUGUCGUGAGAUGUUGGGUUAAGUCCCGCAACGAGCGCAACCCUCGUUCUAUGUUGCCAGCGCGUUAUGGCGGGGACUCAUAGGAGACUGCCGGGGUCAACUCGGAGGAAGGUGGGGACGACGUCAAAUCAUCAUGCCCCUUAUGUCUUGGGCUUCACGCAUGCUACAAUGGCCGGUACAAAGGGUUGCGAUACUGUGAGGUGGAGCUAAUCCCAAAAAGCCGGUCUCAGUUCGGAUUGGGGUCUGCAACUCGACCCCAUGAAGUCGGAGUCGCUAGUAAUCGCAGAUCAGCAACGCUGCGGUGAAUACGUUCCCGGGCCUUGUACACACCGCCCGUCAAGUCACGAAAGUUGGUAACACCCGAAGCCGGUGGCCUAACCCCUUGUGGGAGGGAGCUG